This 253-nucleotide ribosomal RNA is filed under the name uncultured bacterium. RNAcentral's name for it is "partial 16S ribosomal RNA". It matches the Rfam family "Bacterial small subunit ribosomal RNA", at positions 524 to 776 of the family's 1533-position model. The record is from RNAcentral.
GACGAACCGUGCGAACGUUGUUCGGAAUCACUGGGCUUAAAGGGCGCGUAGGCGGCUCGCAUGGUCGGGGGUGAAAUCCCAUCGCUUAACGGUGGAAGUGCCUUCGAUACCGGCGGGCUCGAGGAAGGUAGGGGUGCGCGGAACUUCUGGUGGAGCGGUGAAAUGCGUUGAUAUCAGAAGGAACGCCGGCGGCGAAAGCGGCGCACUGGACCUUUUCUGACGCUGAUGCGCGAAAGCCAGGGGAGCAAACGGG